RNAcentral lists this ribosomal RNA (380 nucleotides) under uncultured bacterium. Its description in RNAcentral is "bacterial SSU rRNA". It matches the Rfam family "Bacterial small subunit ribosomal RNA", at positions 29 to 407 of the family's 1533-position model. The record is from RNAcentral.
AUUGAACGCUGGCGGCAUGCUUAAACACAUGCAAGUCGAACGGUAACAGGCCCUUCGGGUGCUGACGAGUGGCGGACGGGUGAGUAAUGCUUAGGAAUCUGCCUAGUAGUGGGGGAUAACCCGGGGAAACUCGGGCUAAUACCGCAUACGCCCUACAGGGGAAAAGCGGGGGACUUUCGGGCCGUCGCGCUAUUAGAUGAGCCUAAGUCCGAUUAGCUAGUUGGUAGGGUAAUGGCCUACCAAGGCGACGAUCGGUAGCUGGUCUGAGAGGACGACCACGCCACACUGGGACUGAGACACGGCCCAGACUCCUACGGGAGGCAGCAGUGAGGAAUAUUGCGCAAUGGGCGAAAGCCUGACGCAGCGACGCCGCGGUGGGG